UGGGGAAUUUUGGACAAUGGGCGAAAGCCUGAUCCAGCAAUGCCGCGUGUGUGAAGAAGGCCUUCGGGUUGUAAAGCACUUUUGUCCGGAAAGAAAUCCUUGGCUCUAAUACAGUCGGGGGAUGACGGUACCGGAAGAAUAAGCACCGGCUAACUACGUGCCAGCAGCCGCGGUAAUACGUAGGGUGCAAGCGUUAAUCGGAAUUACUGGGCGUAAAGCGUGCGCAGGCGGUUUGCUAAGACCGAUGUGAAAUCCCCGGGCUCAACCUGGGAACUGCAUUGGUGACUGGCAGGCUAGAGUAUGGCAGAGGGGGGUAGAAUUCCACGUGUAGCAGUGAAAUGCGUAGAGAUGUGGAGGAAUACCGAUGGCGAAGGCAGCCCCCUGGGCCAAUACUGACGCUCAUGCACGAAAGCGUGGGGAGCAAACAGGAUUAGAUACCCUGGUAGUCCACGCCCUAAACGAUGUCAACUAGUUGUUGGGGGACUUCAUUUCCUUAGUAACGUAGCUAACGCGUGAAGUUGACCGCCU
RNAcentral lists this ribosomal RNA (528 nucleotides) under uncultured bacterium. RNAcentral's name for it is "partial 16S ribosomal RNA". It matches the Rfam family "Bacterial small subunit ribosomal RNA", at positions 355 to 874 of the family's 1533-position model. The record is from RNAcentral.